RNAcentral lists this ribosomal RNA (1436 nucleotides) under uncultured organism. Its description in RNAcentral is "16S ribosomal RNA". It matches the Rfam family "Bacterial small subunit ribosomal RNA". The record is from RNAcentral.
CAGGCUUAACACAUGCAAGUCGAGGGGCAGCAUGGUCUUAGCUUGCUAAGACUGAUGGCGACCGGCGCACGGGUGAGUAACACGUAUCCAACCUGCCGUCUACUCUUGGACAGCCUUCUGAAAGGAAGAUUAAUACAAGAUGGCAUCAUGAGUCCGCAUGUUCACAUGAUUAAAGGUAUUCCGGUAGACGAUGGGGAUGCGUUCCAUUAGAUAGUAGGCGGGGUAACGGCCCACCUAGUCUUCGAUGGAUAGGGGUUCUGAGAGGAAGGUCCCCCACAUUGGAACUGAGACACGGUCCAAACUCCUACGGGAGGCAGCAGUGAGGAAUAUUGGUCAAUGGGCGAGAGCCUGAACCAGCCAAGUAGCGUGAAGGAUGACUGCCCUAUGGGUUGUAAACUUCUUUUAUAAAGGAAUAAAGUCGGGUAUGGAUACCCGUUUGCAUGUACUUUAUGAAUAAGGAUCGGCUAACUCCGUGCCAGCAGCCGCGGUAAUACGGAGGAUCCGAGCGUUAUCCGGAUUUAUUGGGUUUAAAGGGAGCGUAGAUGGAUGUUUAAGUCAGUUGUGAAAGUUUGCGGCUCAACCGUAAAAUUGCAGUUGAUACUGGAUAUCUUGAGUGCAGUUGAGGCAGGCGGAAUUCGUGGUGUAGCGGUGAAAUGCUUAGAUAUCACGAAGAACUCCGAUUGCGAAGGCAGCCUGCUAAGCUGCAACUGACAUUGAGGCUCGAAAGUGUGGGUAUCAAACAGGAUUAGAUACCCUGGUAGUCCACACGGUAAACGAUGAAUACUCGCUGUUUGCGAUAUACUGCAAGCGGCCAAGCGAAAGCGUUAAGUAUUCCACCUGGGGAGUACGCCGGCAACGGUGAAACUCAAAGGAAUUGACGGGGGCCCGCACAAGCGGAGGAACAUGUGGUUUAAUUCGAUGAUACGCGAGGAACCUUACCCGGGCUUAAAUUGCAGAUGAAUUACGGUGAAAGCCGUAAGCCGCAAGGCAUCUGUGAAGGUGCUGCAUGGUUGUCGUCAGCUCGUGCCGUGAGGUGUCGGCUUAAGUGCCAUAACGAGCGCAACCCUUGUUGUCAGUUACUAACAGGUUCCGCUGAGGACUCUGACAAGACUGCCAUCGUAAGAUGUGAGGAAGGUGGGGAUGACGUCAAAUCAGCACGGCCCUUACGUCCGGGGCUACACACGUGUUACAAUGGGGGGUACAGAGGGCCGCUACCACGCGAGUGGAUGCCAAUCCCAAAAACCUCUCUCAGUUCGGACUGGAGUCUGCAACCCGACUCCACGAAGCUGGAUUCGCUAGUAAUCGCGCAUCAGCCACGGCGCGGUGAAUACGUUCCCGGGCCUUGUACACACCGCCCGUCAAGCCAUGGGAGCCGGGGGUACCUGAAGUGCGUAACCGCGAGGAGCGCCCUAGGGUAAAACUGGUGACUGGGGCUA